CCCCUUGAUGUUCUGGGCCGCACGCGCGCUACACUGAACAGUUCAACAAGUCUUAACCUUGGCCGAUAGGUCUGGGUAAUCUUUGAACGCUGUUCGUGAUUGGGAUAGACCUUUGCAAUUAUGGGUCUUCAACGAGGAAUUCCUAGUAAACGCAAGUCAUCAGCUUGCAUUGAUUACGUCCCUGCCCUUUGUACACACCGCCCGUCGCACCUACCGAUUGAAUGGUCCGGUGAAAUCUCGGGACGGCGGCUUGGUCGCUUGCGUCCGACUGCUGAAACUUGAUUAAACCAUAUCAUUUAGAGGAAGGUGAAGUCGUAACA
RNAcentral lists this ribosomal RNA (320 nucleotides) under uncultured eukaryote. RNAcentral's name for it is "partial 18S ribosomal RNA". It matches the Rfam family "Eukaryotic small subunit ribosomal RNA", at positions 1470 to 1796 of the family's 1831-position model. The record is from RNAcentral.